This 324-nucleotide ribosomal RNA is filed under the name uncultured eukaryote. RNAcentral describes it as "partial 18S ribosomal RNA". It matches the Rfam family "Eukaryotic small subunit ribosomal RNA", at positions 1470 to 1796 of the family's 1831-position model. The record is from RNAcentral.
CCCUUAGAUGUCCUGGGCUGCACGCGCGCUACACUGAUGUGUCCAGUAAGCACCUAACCUCUUCCGAAAGGAACGGGUAACCUUUGCAAAGCACAUCGUGAUGGGGAUAGAUUAUUGCAAUUAUUAGUCUUGAACGAGGAAUUCCUAGUAAGCACAAGUCAUCAGCUUGUGUUGAUUACGUCCCUGCCCUUUGUACACACCGCCCGUCGCUCCUACCGAUUGAACGUUCCGGUGAGCUCUUCGGACUGCGCGGUCUGCAGUUUCUGCGUUCCGUGCGGAAAGUUGCGCAAACCUUAACAUUUAGAGGAAGGAGAAGUCGUAACA